CGCGCAUGACCCGUUACCAUGACUACCACAGGGCGCCGCAGCAGCACAUCGCAGCGCAGUGGUUUUGGUGUGGAACGGUGAUUUCGGGCGGCACAGGGAGGCAGAUAUGUGGCAACAUCAAAAUCGGCAGUCCGGUCAAGCUACAGCACAUGGUGGACUACGGCCAAUUUCCUCCGUUAUCAGAGGCGGUUGUUUCGAGCAGCAAUUGGCAGCUCGACACAUGAUGCUACACUGGUUGGCAACACAGCAAGCCAGUGCUGCUGUGGACACAGGUCGGCAAUGCACUCGGCCCAGUAGGCAUGUGAAGCAGGCAGCACGUAAAACCGAGGC
Rhipicephalus sanguineus (brown dog tick) is the source of this 330-nucleotide long non-coding RNA. RefSeq lists it as uncharacterized. Lineage: Eukaryota; Metazoa; Arthropoda; Arachnida; Ixodida; Ixodidae. The transcript has 3 exons. The record is from RefSeq and is a predicted model, not a curated record.